CGCUAUCACUCCGUACGGGAGGCAGCAGUGGGGAAUAUUGCACAAUGGGGGAAACCCUGAUGCAGCCAUGCCGCGUGUGUGAAGAAGGCCUUCGGGUUGUAAAGCACUUUCAGUAGGGAGGAAGGUAGUGUAGUUAACACCUGCACUAUUUGACGUUACCUACAGAAGAAGCACCGGCUAACUCCGUGCCAGCAGCCGCGGUAAUACGGAGGGUGCGAGCGUUAAUCGGAAUUACUGGGCGUAAAGCGCAUGCAGGCGGCCUGUUAAGUCAGAUGUGAAAGCCCGGGGCUUAACCUCGGAAUUGCAUUUGAAACUGGCAGGCUAGAGUCUUGUAGAGGGGGUAGAAUUUCAGGUGUAGCGGUGAAAUGCGUAGAGAUCUGAAGGAAUACCAGUGGCGAAGGCGGCCCCCUGGACAAAGACUGACGCUCAGAUGCGAAAGCGUGGGGAGCAAACAGGAUUAGAUACCCUGGUAG
This 473-nucleotide ribosomal RNA is filed under the name uncultured bacterium. RNAcentral describes it as "bacterial SSU rRNA". It matches the Rfam family "Bacterial small subunit ribosomal RNA", at positions 328 to 793 of the family's 1533-position model. The record is from RNAcentral.